Molecule: ribosomal RNA, 447 nt
Filed under: uncultured bacterium
Lineage: Bacteria
Description: bacterial SSU rRNA
Rfam family: Bacterial small subunit ribosomal RNA
Source: RNAcentral
AUGAACGCUGGCGGCGUGUCUAAGGCAUGCAAGUCGAUCGAGUUUAGACUCGAGGCAAACGGGUGAGUAACACAUUGGUAAUCUACCUUCGACUCGGGCAUAACCCAGAGAAAUUUGGGAUAAUUCCCGAUAGUCAUGGGGGGUCAUUAAGACAUUCCCAUGUAAAGUUUUUCGGUCGAAGAGGAGCCUAUGGCCCAUCAGCUAGUUGGUAGGGUAAUGGCCUACCAAGGCAAUGACGGGUAGCGGGUGUGAGAGCAUGACCCGCCUCACUGGGACUGAGACACUGCCCAGACUCCUACGGGAGGCUGCAGUCAAGAAUAUUCCGCAAUGGCCGAAAGGCUGACGGAGCGACGCCGCGUGCAGGAUGACGCCCUUCGGGGUGUAAACUGCUUUUUUUUGGGACGAAUUCGUGACGGUACCAAAAGAAUAAGUCACUGCUAACCUCGU